AUGUUCCCCAGCUCCACUCUCUGUUCCACCACCAUGUUCCUCAGCUCCACUGUCUGGUCCACCACCAUGUUCCUCAGCUCCACUCUCUGUUCCACCACCAUGUUCCUCAGCUCCACUCUCUGUUCCACCACCAUGUUCCUCAGCUCCACUCUCUGUUCCACCACCAUGUUCCUCAGCUCCACUCUCUGUUCCACCACCAUGUUCCUCAAUUCCACUCGCUGUUCCACCACCAUGUUCCUCAGCUCCACUCUCUGUUCCACCACCAUGUUCCUCAGCUCCACUCUCUGUUCCACCACCAUGUUCCUCAAUUCCACUCGCUGUUCCACAACCAUGUUCCUCAGCUCCACUCUGUUCCACCACCAUGUUCCUCAGCUCCACUCUGUUCCACCACCAUGUUCCUCAGCUCCUCUCUCUGUUCCAUCACCAUGUUCCUCAGCUCCUCUCUCUGUUCCACCACCAUGUUCCUCAGCUCCUCACUCUGUUCCACCACCAUGUUCCUCAGCUCCACUCUCUGUUCCACCACCAUGUUCCUCAGCUCCACUCUGUUCCACCACCAUGUUCCUCAGCUCCUCUCUCUGUUCCACCACCAUGUUCCUCAGCUCCUCUCUCUGUUCCACCAUGUUCCUCAGCUCCUCACUCUGUUCCACCACCAUGUUCCUCAGCUCCACUCUCUGUUCCACCACCAUGUUCCUCAGCUCCACUCUGUUCCACCACCAUGUUCCUCAGCUCCUCACUCUGUUCCACCACCAUGUUCCUCAGCUCCACUCUCUGUUCCACCACUCCUCUCUCUGUUCCACCACCAUGUUCCUCAGCUCCUCUCUCUGUUCCACCACCAUGUUCCUCAGCUCCUCACUCUGUUCCACCACCAUGUUCCUCAGCUCCACUCUCUGUUCCACCACCAUGUUCCUCAGCUCCACUCUGUUCCACCACCAUGUUCCUCAGCUCCUCUCUGUUCCACCACCAUGUUCCUCAGCUCCUCUCUCUGUUCCACCAUGUUCCUCAGCUCCUCACUCUGUUCCACCACCAUGUUCAUCAGCUCCACUCUCUGUUCCACCACCAUGUUCCUCAGCUCCACUCUGUUCCACCACCAUGUUCCUCAGCUCCUCACUCUGUUCCACCACCAUGUUCCUCAGCUCCACUCUCUGUUCCACCACUCCUCUCUCUGUUCCACCACCAUGUUCCUCAGCUCCUCUCUCUGUUCCACCACCAUGUUCCUCAGCUCCACUCUGUUCCACCGUCUCUCAGCACCUUCAGUUCAGUGCAGAUGUCAGGCUAGGUGGUCAACUGUUCAGCAUCAGUCUUUCCUCCUUCACUGUGACCCUGUUCAGUCAUAUCCUUCUCUCUGUCCCCUCUACUCUCUCCAUGAGCCCAUGUCCCAGACAGACAGUGCAGCAACACCAGUAG
RNAcentral lists this long non-coding RNA (1404 nucleotides) under Oncorhynchus kisutch (coho salmon). Its description in RNAcentral is "lncRNA (ENSOKIG00005002171.1)". The record is from RNAcentral. Lineage: Eukaryota; Metazoa; Chordata; Actinopteri; Salmoniformes; Salmonidae.